CCCGCUGAACUUAAGCAUAUUAUUAAGCGGAGGAAAAGAAACUAACAAGGAUGCCCUCAGUAACGGCGAGUGAAGCGGGCAAAGCUCAACCCGAAAAUCGGAUUAUCAAACGAUAACUCUGAGUUGUGGGCUAGAGACACGUGAUCAGUGUGUAAUCCGAGUAUAAAUCUUUUGAAACAAAGUAUCAUAGAGGGUGAGAAUCCCGUCUGUGACUCGGUUGAUUGCCACGAACGAUCCGUGUUCAUAGAGUCGAGUUGUUUGGGAUUGCAACUCUAAACGGGAGGUAAAUUUCUCCUAAAGCUAAAUACCGAUGAGAGACCGAUAGCGAACAAGUACCGUGAGGGAAAGAUGAAAAGAACUUUGAAAAGAGAGUUAAAAAGUACCUGAAAUUGCUAAGAGGGAAGCAAUGGAAACCAGUAAUUGAGACACGCGUGGAUAUUUACUAGUAAACUUGUAGAUGAUAUCUUUUCGUGAAGUUCCAAAAGUCUUCUGAUUUGGUAUGUAAUCUACGAGAUGCUAGGUCCUGUCCUGUGUUGUCUAAUCAGAAUCAAUUUGAUUCGUGAGAGAAAGCUAUGGAGACGUUAUAGUUAGUUAGGCAACUAAUUGAUUAUAAGUUUUGUAGUGCUAUCAUGGGUUAGAUUGAGGUUCACUUGAAUUGUCCGCUUUUUCUUCGGAUGAAGUUAUUCGCUUCCCGACUCUGGAUUAUUGAGGUUUGGUAUGGACAAGAAAUCUUGUGUGUAUUUCUUUGGUAGUUCAACUAGAAGGGGUAAGUGAGAUGGUACAAUCGAGAUUCUGAUGAAAUGGUUUUCAUUGACCCGUCUUGAAACACGG
This 831-nucleotide ribosomal RNA is filed under the name uncultured fungus. RNAcentral's name for it is "eukaryotic LSU rRNA". It matches the Rfam family "Eukaryotic large subunit ribosomal RNA", at positions 24 to 664 of the family's 3401-position model. The record is from RNAcentral. Lineage: Eukaryota; Fungi.